This 2989-nucleotide ribosomal RNA is filed under the name Salmonella enterica. RNAcentral's name for it is "23S ribosomal RNA". It matches the Rfam family "Bacterial large subunit ribosomal RNA". The record is from RNAcentral. Lineage: Bacteria; Pseudomonadati; Pseudomonadota; Gammaproteobacteria; Enterobacterales; Enterobacteriaceae.
GGUUAAGCGACUAAGCGUACACGGUGGAUGCCCUGGCAGUCAGAGGCGAUGAAGGGCGUGCUAAUCUGCGAUAAGCGCCGGUAAGGUGAUAUGAACCGUUAUAACCGGCGAUACCCGAAUGGGGAAACCCAGUGUGAUUCGUCACACUAUCAUUAACUGAAUCCAUAGGUUAAUGAGGCGAACCGGGGGAACUGAAACAUCUAAGUACCCCGAGGAAAAGAAAUCAACCGAGAUUCCCCCAGUAGCGGCGAGCGAACGGGGAGGAGCCCAGAGCCUGAAUCAGCAUGUGUGUUAGUGGAAGCGUCUGGAAAGGCGCGCGAUACAGGGUGACAGCCCCGUACACAAAAGCGCAUGUGCUGUGAGCUCGAUGAGUAGGGCGGGACACGUGGUAUCCUGUCUGAAUAUGGGGGGACCAUCCUCCAAGGCUAAAUACUCCUGACUGACCGAUAGUGAACCAGUACCGUGAGGGAAAGGCGAAAAGAACCCCGGCGAGGGGAGUGAAAAAGAACCUGAAACCGUGUACGUACAAGCAGUGGGAGCACAGGUUUACCUGUGUGACUGCGUACCUUUUGUAUAAUGGGUCAGCGACUUAUAUUCUGUAGCAAGGUUAACCGAAUAGGGGAGCCGGAGGGAAACCGAGUCUUAAUUGGGCGUUAAGUUGCAGGGUAUAGACCCGAAACCCGGUGAUCUAGCCAUGGGCAGGUUGAAGGUUGGGUAACACUAACUGGAGGACCGAACCGACUAAUGUUGAAAAAUUAGCGGAUGACCUGUGGCUGGGGGUGAAAGGCCAAUCAAACCGGGAGAUAGCUGGUUCUCCCCGAAAGCUAUUUAGGUAGCGCCUCGUGAAUUCAUCUCCGGGGGUAGAGCACUGUUUCGGCUAGGGGGCCAUCCCGGCUUACCAACCCGAUGCAAACUGCGAAUACCGGAGAAUGUUAUCACGGGAGACACACGGCGGGUGCUAACGUCCGUCGUGAAGAGGGAAACAACCCAGACCGCCAGCUAAGGUCCCAAAGUCAUGGUUAAGUGGGAAACGAUGUGGGAAGGCCCAGACAGCCAGGAUGUUGGCUUAGAAGCAGCCAUCAUUUAAAGAAAGCGUAAUAGCUCACUGGUCGAGUCGGCCUGCGCGGAAGAUGUAACGGGGCUAAACCAUGCACCGAAGCUGCGGCAGCGAACGUAUCACUUAAAGCGAUUCAGCGGGUUACGAUUGACGGAGCGAAGCGACGUCAAAGCGUAUACAAAGUCGAGUCGGUUUAAGGAUACGUUCGUUGGGUAGGGGAGCGUUCUGUAAGCCUGCGAAGGUGGCCUGUGAGGGUUGCUGGAGGUAUCAGAAGUGCGAAUGCUGACAUAAGUAACGAUAAAGCGGGUGAAAAGCCCGCUCGCCGGAAGACCAAGGGUUCCUGUCCAACGUUAAUCGGGGCAGGGUGAGUCGACCCCUAAGGCGAGGCCGAAAGGCGUAGUCGAUGGGAAACGGGUUAAUAUUCCCGUACUUGGUGUUACUGCGAAGGGGGGACGGAGAAGGCUAUGUUGGCCGGGCGACGGUUGUCCCGGUUUAAGCGUGUAGGUGUGUGUUCCAGGUAAAUCCGGUUCACUUUAACACUGAGGCGUGACGACGAGGCACUACGGUGCUGAAGCAACAAAUGCCCUGCUUCCAGGAAAAGCCUCUAAGCAUCAGGUAACAUCAAAUCGUACCCCAAACCGACACAGGUGGUCAGGUAGAGAAUACCAAGGCGCUUGAGAGAACUCGGGUGAAGGAACUAGGCAAAAUGGUGCCGUAACUUCGGGAGAAGGCACGCUGACACGUAGGUGAAGUGAUUUACUCACGGAGCUGAAGUCAGUCGAAGAUACCAGCUGGCUGCAACUGUUUAUUAAAAACACAGCACUGUGCAAACACGAAAGUGGACGUAUACGGUGUGACGCCUGCCCGGUGCCGGAAGGUUAAUUGAUGGGGUCAGCGCAAGCGAAGCUCCUGAUCGAAGCCCCGGUAAACGGCGGCCGUAACUAUAACGGUCCUAAGGUAGCGAAAUUCCUUGUCGGGUAAGUUCCGACCUGCACGAAUGGCGUAAUGAUGGCCAGGCUGUCUCCACCCGAGACUCAGUGAAAUUGAACUCGCUGUGAAGAUGCAGUGUACCCGCGGCAAGACGGAAAGACCCCGUGAACCUUUACUAUAGCUUGACACUGAACAUUGAGCCUUGAUGUGUAGGAUAGGUGGGAGGCUUUGAAGUGUGGACGCCAGUCUGCAUGGAGCCGACCUUGAAAUACCACCCUUUAAUGUUUGAUGUUCUAACGUGGACCCGUGAUCCGGGUUGCGGACAGUGUCUGGUGGGUAGUUUGACUGGGGCGGUCUCCUCCUAAAGAGUAACGGAGGAGCACGAAGGUUGGCUAAUCCUGGUCGGACAUCAGGAGGUUAGUGCAAUGGCAUAAGCCAGCUUGACUGCGAGCGUGACGGCGCGAGCAGGUGCGAAAGCAGGUCAUAGUGAUCCGGUGGUUCUGAAUGGAAGGGCCAUCGCUCAACGGAUAAAAGGUACUCCGGGGAUAACAGGCUGAUACCGCCCAAGAGUUCAUAUCGACGGCGGUGUUUGGCACCUCGAUGUCGGCUCAUCACAUCCUGGGGCUGAAGUAGGUCCCAAGGGUAUGGCUGUUCGCCAUUUAAAGUGGUACGCGAGCUGGGUUUAGAACGUCGUGAGACAGUUCGGUCCCUAUCUGCCGUGGGCGCUGGAGAACUGAGGGGGGCUGCUCCUAGUACGAGAGGACCGGAGUGGACGCAUCACUGGUGUUCGGGUUGUCAUGCCAAUGGCACUGCCCGGUAGCUAAAUGCGGAAGAGAUAAGUGCUGAAAGCAUCUAAGCACGAAACUUGCCCCGAGAUGAGUUCUCCCUGAGACUUAGAGUCUCCUGAAGGAACGUUGAAGACGACGACGUUGAUAGGCCGGGUGUGUAAGCGCAGCGAUGCGUUGAGCUAACCGGUACUAAUGAACCGUGAGGCUUAACCUU